This 484-nucleotide ribosomal RNA is filed under the name uncultured bacterium. RNAcentral describes it as "partial 16S ribosomal RNA". It matches the Rfam family "Bacterial small subunit ribosomal RNA", at positions 30 to 507 of the family's 1533-position model. The record is from RNAcentral.
AUUGAACGCUGGCGGCAGGCCUAACACAUGCAAGUCGAGCGGAUGAAGGGAGCUUGCUCCUGGAUUCAGCGGCGGACGGGUGAGUAAUGCCUAGGAAUCUGCCUGGUAGUGGGGGAUAACGUCCGGAAACGGGCGCUAAUACCGCAUACGUCCUGAGGGAGAAAGUGGGGGAUCUUCGGACCUCACGCUAUCAGAUGAGCCUAGGUCGGAUUAGCUAGUUGGUGGGGUAAAGGCCUACCAAGGCGACGAUCCGUAACUGGUCUGAGAGGAUGAUCAGUCACACUGGAACUGAGAAACGGUCCAGACUCCUGCGGGAGGCAGCAGUGGGGAAUAUUGGACAAUGGGCGAAAGCCUGAUCCAGCCAUGCCGCGUGUGUGAAGAAGGUCUUCGGAUUGUAAAGCACUUUAAGUUGGGAGGAAGGGAAGUAAGUUAAUACCUUGCUGUUUUGACGUUACCAACAGAAUAAGCACCGGCUAACUUCGUG